GGGUUGUGAGGUUAAGCGACUAAGCGUACACGGUGGAUGCCCUGGCAGUCAGAGGCGAUGAAGGGCGUGCUAAUCUGCGAUAAGCGCCGGUAAGGUGAUAUGAACCGUUAUAACCGGCGAUACCCGAAUGGGGAAACCCAGUGUGAUUCGUCACACUAUCAUUAACUGAAUCCAUAGGUUAAUGAGGCGAACCGGGGGAACUGAAACAUCUAAGUACCCCGAGGAAAAGAAAUCAACCGAGAUUCCCCCAGUAGCGGCGAGCGAACGGGGAGGAGCCCAGAGCCUGAAUCAGCAUGUGUGUUAGUGGAAGCGUCUGGAAAGGUGCGCGAUACAGGGUGACAGCCCCGUACACAAAAGCGCAUGUGCUGUGAGCUCGAUGAGUAGGGCGGGACACGUGGUAUCCUGUCUGAAUAUGGGGGGACCAUCCUCCAAGGCUAAAUACUCCUGACUGACCGAUAGUGAACCAGUACCGUGAGGGAAAGGCGAAAAGAACCCCGGCGAGGGGAGUGAAAAAGAACCUGAAACCGUGUACGUACAAGCAGUGGGAGCACAGGUUUACCUGUGUGACUGCGUACCUUUUGUAUAAUGGGUCAGCGACUUAUAUUCUGUAGCAAGGUUAACCGUAUAGGGGAGCCGUAGGGAAACCGAGUCUUAACCGGGCGUUAAGUUGCAGGGUAUAGACCCGAAACCCGGUGAUCUAGCCAUGGGCAGGUUGAAGGUUGGGUAACACUAACUGGAGGACCGAACCGACUAAUGUUGAAAAAUUAGCGGAUGACCUGUGGCUGGGGGUGAAAGGCCAAUCAAACCGGGAGAUAGCUGGUUCUCCCCGAAAGCUAUUUAGGUAGCGCCUCGUGAAUUCAUCUCCGGGGGUAGAGCACUGUUUCGGCUAGGGGGCCAUCCCGGCUUACCAACCCGAUGCAAACUGCGAAUACCGGAGAAUGUUAUCACGGGAGACACACGGCGGGUGCUAACGUCCGUCGUGAAGAGGGAAACAACCCAGACCGCCAGCUAAGGUCCCAAAGUCAUGGUUAAGUGGGAAACGAUGUGGGAAGGCCCAGACAGCCAGGAUGUUGGCUUAGAAGCAGCCAUCAUUUAAAGAAAGCGUAAUAGCUCACUGGUCGAGUCGGCCUGCGCGGAAGAUGUAACGGGGCUAAACCAUGCACCGAAGCUGCGGCAGCGAACGUAUCACCCAAGACAACUUUACGGAGUUGACGAUUGACGGAGCGAAGCGACGUCAAAGCGUUCAUUAAAGUCGAGUUGGCUUAGGGAUACGUUCGUUGGGUAGGGGAGCGUUCUGUAAGCCUGUGAAGGUGUGUCGUGAGGCAUGCUGGAGGUAUCAGAAGUGCGAAUGCUGACAUAAGUAACGAUAAAGCGGGUGAAAAGCCCGCUCGCCGGAAGACCAAGGGUUCCUGUCCAACGUUAAUCGGGCAGGGUGAGUCGACCCCUAAGGCGAGGCCGAAAGGCGUAGUCGAUGGGAAACGGGUUAAUAUUCCCGUACUUGGUGUUACUGCGAAGGGGGGACGGAGAAGGCUAUGUUGGCCGGGCGACGGUUGUCCCGGUUUAAGCGUGUAGGUGUGUGUUCCAGGUAAAUCCGGUUCACUUUAACACUGAGGCGUGACGACGAGGCACUACGGUGCUGAAGCAACAAAUGCCCUGCUUCCAGGAAAAGCCUCUAAGCAUCAGGUAACACGAAAUCGUACCCCAAACCGACACAGGUGGUCAGGUAGAGAAUACCAAGGCGCUUGAGAGAACUCGGGUGAAGGAACUAGGCAAAAUGGUGCCGUAACUUCGGGAGAAGGCACGCUGACACGUAGGUGAAGUGAUUUACUCAUGGAGCUGAAGUCAGUCGAAGAUACCAGCUGGCUGCAACUGUUUAUUAAAAACACAGCACUGUGCAAACACGAAAGUGGACGUAUACGGUGUGACGCCUGCCCGGUGCCGGAAGGUUAAUUGAUGGGGUCAGCGUAAGCGAAGCUCCUGAUCGAAGCCCCGGUAAACGGCGGCCGUAACUAUAACGGUCCUAAGGUAGCGAAAUUCCUUGUCGGGUAAGUUCCGACCUGCACGAAUGGCGUAAUGAUGGCCAGGCUGUCUCCACCCGAGACUCAGUGAAAUUGAACUCGCUGUGAAGAUGCAGUGUACCCGCGGCAAGACGGAAAGACCCCGUGAACCUUUACUAUAGCUUGACACUGAACAUUGAGCCUUGAUGUGUAGGAUAGGUGGGAGGCUUUGAAGUGUGGACGCCAGUCUGCAUGGAGCCGACCUUGAAAUACCACCCUUUAAUGUUUGAUGUUCUAACGUGGACCCGUAAUCCGGGUUGCGGACAGUGUCUGGUGGGUAGUUUGACUGGGGCGGUCUCCUCCUAAAGAGUAACGGAGGAGCACGAAGGUUGGCUAAUCCUGGUCGGACAUCAGGAGGUUAGUGCAAUGGCAUAAGCCAGCUUGACUGCGAGCGUGACGGCGCGAGCAGGUGCGAAAGCAGGUCAUAGUGAUCCGGUGGUUCUGAAUGGAAGGGCCAUCGCUCAACGGAUAAAAGGUACUCCGGGGAUAACAGGCUGAUACCGCCCAAGAGUUCAUAUCGACGGCGGUGUUUGGCACCUCGAUGUCGGCUCAUCACAUCCUGGGGCUGAAGUAGGUCCCAAGGGUAUGGCUGUUCGCCAUUUAAAGUGGUACGCGAGCUGGGUUUAGAACGUCGUGAGACAGUUCGGUCCCUAUCUGCCGUGGGCGCUGGAGAACUGAGGGGGGCUGCUCCUAGUACGAGAGGACCGGAGUGGACGCAUCACUGGUGUUCGGGUUGUCAUGCCAAUGGCACUGCCCGGUAGCUAAAUGCGGAAGAGAUAAGUGCUGAAAGCAUCUAAGCACGAAACUUGCCCCGAGAUGAGUUCUCCCUGAGACUUAGAGUCUCCUGAAGGAACGUUGAAGACGACGACGUUGAUAGGCCGGGUGUGUAAGCGCAGCGAUGCGUUGAGCUAACCGGUACUAAUGAACCGUGAGGCUUAACCUUACAACGCCGAAG
This 3012-nucleotide ribosomal RNA is filed under the name Salmonella enterica subsp. enterica serovar Typhimurium. Its description in RNAcentral is "bacterial LSU rRNA". It matches the Rfam family "Bacterial large subunit ribosomal RNA". The record is from RNAcentral. Lineage: Bacteria; Pseudomonadati; Pseudomonadota; Gammaproteobacteria; Enterobacterales; Enterobacteriaceae.